Impatiens glandulifera is the source of this 1593-nucleotide RNA transcript. RefSeq lists it as uncharacterized. The transcript is spliced from 12 exons. Lineage: Eukaryota; Viridiplantae; Streptophyta; Magnoliopsida; Ericales; Balsaminaceae. The record is from RefSeq and is a predicted model, not a curated record.
UCUCUAGGAUCCUCUUUAUGCCGGAUAUCUUCUCAUCCUUCAUCUGCCGCCGCGACCUCUAAUCUCCUCUAAUUUCUUCUUCUGCCGCCGCGACCCAUCAUUAUCCGACUCGAUCUUCAAUUAGGACUUGGAGGCUCUGUGGAUUCUUCUGGAAAGAGAUGCGGAUCUCAUCCAUCAGACUACUGUCAACGAUCGCCACUCCGCUCUUCAUAUAGCUGCUGCCAAUGUCCAGAUCGAGACUCCAUUGAUGUUGGCUGCAAUGAACGGGAAGAUAUCUUGUGCAGAAAAGCUUAUUGAAGCUGGAGCUAAUAUUUUGAUGUUUGACUCGAUUAAUAAAAGGACAUGCCUACACUAUGCUGCUUACUAUGAUCAUUCUGAUUGUCUUCAAGUCAUUCUUUCAACCGCUAGUACAUUCGAUGUUGCUGUAUCUUGAGGGAAUUGGGUGUGAUAUGGGAUGUGGAUUUAUACGGAGAAUUUCUCAAGAUUGGGGGUGGAAAAGAAAGGAUGACAACACGUACUUUAACAAAAUUAGUUGGCCAGAUAAGCUCCUAAGGAUGAAACUAAAAGAAAGGAAUUUAUUCCUUAUCUUCACAAGAGGAAGACCGAACUGUUCAUGGUCUUUAUUGAGAAGAAGUUGUUGCCUCUUUGGCCAGGUGUUGCAAAUUGCAUUGUCCAAGUUGGUUGACCAGGCUCUUACUAAAGGAGUAAAAGGGGCUGUGUCCAGUACAUCCAAUGAGAAGGCGGUCUCUGUAAUAGUUUCAUUUCUAUUAGGACCAGAAAGAGCAGAGAAAAUCCAAAUAUUUGUUGGGAUGUGGUGCCUCGCAAGAAGCCUGAUCCAGAAAUAUCUUUUUUACCUUUGUGAUUCAACUAGAGACAAAUUUGAAAAUAACAAUAGCUUAAGAUUUAAUAGUAUGCAUCUUUUUUCAUGAAGAUUGAGGAAAACUUCUUUUAUUCUAACCUCAAAUAGUUUCCCUUUGAAAUCAAUGACAGGCAAAUUUCAAACAAAGCAUACAAAUUUGCGUAUGUUAGACAAGAUGAUUUGUUCUUCUUACAGCUGACUGUUCGAGAAACGUUGUCUCUUACAGCUGAGCUCCAACUUCGGGAGAUAAUAUCUAUUGAAAAGAGGGAUGAAUAUGUCAAUAAUCUUUUGUUUAAACUCGGUUUGGUCAGUUGUGCCGAUUUCUGUAUUGGGGAUGCAAAAGUGCGGGGAAUUAGUGAUGGUGAAAAGAAACGUUUAUCAAUGGCAUGCGAAAUGAUUGCAGCCCAUCUGCCAUUUUUGCUGAUGAGCCUACAACAGAAAGGCAGGACUCCUUUAAUUCCCAGUUGUAAUUUUUGUUGAUUGAUAAGGGAGUUGUCGAGACAACUUCCACUUUAUGCGAAAUUGAAUCUACUUAAAGUAUUCAUCCUCAAGUUGUCAUCUGCAAGAAGUAAAAAUGUGGACACAACAACCAGCGGAGACCCAAAUAGAAGAUCAAGUAGAUAAAAAUUAUCUAUUUUCAGUCUUCUAUUUUAGUUUUGUUGUUCAAAACUAUUUUGUUUGUUAUAGAUCUUUUUGACUAUUAUACGAUUAAAUUAGAUAUUUGAUUAAAUGAG